Long non-coding RNA from Neofelis nebulosa (Clouded leopard), 3956 nucleotides. RefSeq lists it as uncharacterized. The transcript has 2 exons. Lineage: Eukaryota; Metazoa; Chordata; Mammalia; Carnivora; Felidae. The record is from RefSeq and is a predicted model, not a curated record.
AAGCCAGUUUAUUGUUUUUAAACAUCUGCACCGCACCCUGCCCCCCGCCCCAGUUUUUGGAAAUCAAAGAAACUCAUGGUAACUGACGUCCAAGGAGCAGACUCGAACCUUGAAGGCAGCUGAGCGACUGACUACUAAUGGCCCCCGUAAAGCACUGCCCGGCCUUCACCUAAUGCCUAAUUACUCACCGGCAUGCCUUUGCUCCGCCAGUGUCUGCUUGAACAAUGCAGCCAAACAAGGUGGAACUGUGUCCAUUUAUGGGCAAGUCAAAGACCAAUAAAUAAAAAGUUUAAUUUCCUGAUUCCCUGAAGUCGAUGGGGCUUAGAAAAUACUCCCCAAUCCUUCCAACAAUGUCUCUCAAAACACCGUGUGACCAGCCACCUCGUCUCACAUUUCAUUGCUCAUAAAAAGGAAUCAGAUAACGCUAAGUGAAAAAAAGCAGGACACGAAGUGCACUGUGUUUACAGCUAAGAAACCAUCCGCUUUGGGCUGAGGACUGGAACCCUACAAUCGUUAUCAGACCUUCGUGAUGGGCGCAGGAUCCCGGGAGACGGCUUCCCCUGUUUUCGAAAUUUUCUGCUGUUGUCUUAGUUUUACAGCAACCCCCCAAAUUGAAAGUGAUCAGCAAAAUAAUUAGUGAAUUGUUUACCAGGUGCUAGUACUCAGGACAAGCUCAUCACAUGAGGGCUCCGAUGUGAAGCAAACCAACCGAAAACUGAGAAAUUCAUUCAGGUAUCCUCGGAUUCCGUUUCUUAGCUUUCGUCUGGAGGGCUGUUGACUCCUGAACAGAGCCAGAUCCCGGAAGAUCUCGCCUCUUUCCUUGGAUGAUUCACUCUAUUUGGGACAUCUCCCUUCAUCAUUCUCCCAGACACACUCACGCAGGAAGGAGAGGGGACUUCAGUGCCACAUGCUGGCCAGACGGAGAGCAUGCUAGGGCCCGGUGCAUGAAAGUGAAGGCAGUCACACCUUACUGAAAAAUAAAGCACAGUAUAGGUUCAUUAUUAAAAUGUGUGCAGUCUUCAAGAUGGACCCCAGUGAUCUACGCCUCCUUGUGUUCAUGUUCCCUAACAUACCGCAUCGGGGCUGGUCCCUUGUGGUCAACAGAAUCUGGUGGAGGCGACCCGAUCUGACUUCUGACGCUGGGUCAUAAAAACGUACAGAGCUUCUGCCUGGCAUUCUUUCUCCUGGGGACACUCACCCUUGGAACACAGCCACCAUACUCUGAAGAAGCCCACGGGCCCUCACGAAGAGCCACGCGCAGAAGAAACUCCCCGGCGUCCGGCCAGCCCCAACCCCCCGGACAGCGAACGAGCCUUCAGAUGUUUCCACCCCACGGCCUUUCAACAGUCCCCGCGAAGCCCCGGCCAAAGCAGCCCCUGUCUGAAUUCCUGGCUCACAGGUCGCUUGUUUUGUAUCAUCACAUUUUGGGGGGUCACUCGUGAGGCAGUCCUAGCAGCUGCAACAGGACAGUGAAAUGGAUUGAGCUCCAAUGUCGCCGUCACCAAACGUGAGCACCCCUUGAGGGCUCUACGCCCUAGCGGACGUGGUGUCCAGCAAGGGCUCGUUGGAAGGAAUCGGGACCAUCCGGGGACAGGGCUCUGUGGUGAGUAUACACGGCCAUUCAGGACGCUGGCUGGGGCACCCCAUUUCCGAAAGUCUUGAACGUGCACGGUGGGCGGCCAUACAGACGAAUACCACAAGAGGGCAGGUGUAGAUGCUGAACUAGGGUUUCGUGGACUUCACCUUCUCUCAUACUGCCUUGUUUCCCCCCCUUUUGCAUUUCACUGAUGAUUUUGUUUGAUAUCGACCGCUGCCCACGGAUCAGCUCCAUUUUGAAGAAGUGAAUCUACGUUUCAGAACCCAACCUGAUCCAGGAAGGAGUGCGGUCGGAGAGGCUCCCUAACAGUUAAUUUAACAAUGCCGUAUUUGUAUUUCUUAUAAAAUAUAUUUCUGUAAUGACAACACCUACGAUUUCAUUACGAAGAAAAAUUGAGCUGCUAUUUUUAAAUGUCAGUGGGAUAAACAUUUCCUGACUUUAUAUCACUGCGUGAACGCAGAUGUGCUAUUUACUCAAUCUCAUUUAUUUCAUAAUGGGAUUAAAUAAUGCUUCAUUAUUUCAUAAUGAACAAAGUAAUAUUGUGAUCUCGAAAAAAAAAGAAGCAAUUACACUUACUUUUCCUUCACCUCAGAACCCCUUCCCCCCCUCCAUGCAUUCUGACAUUAAAAUGAACUAAUUUGUUGGGUAAUUUAAAGUCGGCUCAAUUUCUCCGGGAAAGAUGAGGAAACGGGCGUCUCAGACCCUGGGGUUUUUCUGAUUACAAAUCGUCUCCUCAAAACAUUUCUUAUAAACUUCAGGUAGCCUCGCCCCUCAGAGUGCAUCUCACCGGCUAUGCGGACAGUGCUCUUGGCGUCUGGUCAGCACCUGUCUCUGCAGGCUGUUCAACCGCACCUCCGGAGCCCAUAGUGUUGAAUCAUCCAAGGCUGAUCGGCACCCCCUCGCCCCCCGCAGUGUGCCCCUGCGGAGCCACCGGAUGGGGCCACGGAGCUCAGCAGGCUGCCAGUUUGGAUGCAUAAAGUCGCGUGACCCCGGGCACCUCAGCAGCCUCUCUGAACCUCAGCUUUCCCCUCUGUAAGAUGGACCCAUGCUUCUGUUUCUCUCCAGGGGACGCUGCAGGGACUGAGAGAAUGGGCCACAGCUCUGCACCUGGGGACGUGUACAUGCUGCCUGGGACAGCAGACGCGGGGCAGACAGCCAGCUAGUAUUACUUUUUACUGCCCUGCUUUUGGUUCUGUAACAACCUUUAUUGAUUGAUUGAUUAAUUGAUUUAUAAUUUUUUUAAUGUUUAUUUUUGAGAGAAAGAAACAGAGCGUGAGUUGGGGGUACAGACAGAGCGAGAGGGAGACACAGAAUCCGAAGCAGGCUGCCGGCUCCGAGCUGUCAGCACAGAGACCGACACGGGGCUCGAACCCACCAACGGCGAGGUCGUGACCUGAGCCGAAGUCGGACGCUCAACCGACUGAGCCACCCAGGCGCCCCUAUAACAACCUUUACAGAUGACUUUGAAAACAAAGAUGCUAGAAGAGUGCUAUGUCUCUCUUCCUAGCUGUGUGCCACGCAUGACCUCCCUAAAUGCUUCCAGAAGCUUCCUCCGGAACAGGUGCUCCUUUCCGUGCCUCUCUACUGCAUCUGAAGGUCCAGCUAUUAUUCGGGAAAAAUUCCACAUGAAGGAAGCCUUCCCUCCCGUUUUCCCACUCGGCGUUGGCGGAGACGGUCUAUUACAAAAGGCGGCAGUUUCUAAAGCGGCCCAUCUUCCGCUUUCAACUCUGAGUCCACAUGAAGUCCUUUCAAACUCUGCUUCCCCCAAGGUCAAACACCCCAGGUCAGAUGUCUUCAUAGGGUAGAGUUCUACAACGGCACACUUGAACUUUCCCUUCCAGGUGCCAAAUGUUUCUUACCAUUACACGGUCUGAAAUACAUAGUAGUACAAGGUGGUUGUUUCUUUUUUUUUUAAGGCACCAAUAACUUGCAUAACCUUUAACCCAUGGUCAGCAUGAGGAAGCUCUGGACUCUUUAAGGGCACUAACUCCAUCAUGGGGCUCCGCCCUCAUGACCUCCCAAAGGUCUCAUCUCCAAACAGUAUCACGUUGGGGAUUAGGGUUUCAACAUAAGAAUUUGGGGAGGACACAAACAUGCUGUCCUUAACAGUAUCUCAAGAGCCUCCCAUUUCCUGAGAUCGCAACAGGAUGGCGCCCCCUGGAGUUGUACGACGCAGCGACACAUAAUUUUGGCGCUCAAACACUGGUGAAAUAAACGACAUGAUAAAUCAUGACAUUUCUGAUUAAAAAAUUUUAAGUAUUUUUAUUAACCAUUUUUUAUUACCGUUUUAUAAUAAUGCAAAAGGCAAUGCAUAAAUUAAAAAAAUGGCAUUUUCAAUUAAAGACAUGCUUUCAAAGAA